This 250-nucleotide ribosomal RNA is filed under the name uncultured Staphylococcus sp. RNAcentral describes it as "partial 16S ribosomal RNA". It matches the Rfam family "Bacterial small subunit ribosomal RNA", at positions 505 to 753 of the family's 1533-position model. Lineage: Bacteria; Bacillati; Bacillota; Bacilli; Caryophanales; Staphylococcaceae. The record is from RNAcentral.
GUGCCAGCCGCCGCGGUAAUACGUAGGUGGCAAGCGUUAUCCGGAAUUAUUGGGCGUAAAGCGCGCGUAGGCGGUUUUUUAAGUCUGAUGUGAAAGCCCACGGCUCAACCGUGGAGGGUCAUUGGAAACUGGAAAACUUGAGUGCAGAAGAGGAAAGUGGAAUUCCAUGUGUAGCGGUGAAAUGCGCAGAGAUAUGGAGGAACACCAGUGGCGAAGGCGACUUUCNUGGUCUGUAACUGACGCUGAUGUG